This 430-nucleotide long non-coding RNA is filed under the name Vigna radiata. Its description in RNAcentral is "long non-coding RNA (VRAD_LNC018518)". The record is from RNAcentral. Lineage: Eukaryota; Viridiplantae; Streptophyta; Magnoliopsida; Fabales; Fabaceae.
UUCAAAUUCAAAUGAAAUCCAAAUGAAAUUCAAAUUCAAGUAAAAUUCAAAUAAUCCUUAGCCUAGCCUAAUUACCCUAGUCCUUAGGUCCCCUAUUAGUCCUUAGUCCUUUAGUUAGCCCCUAGCCCUUGACCCUAGUUAGCCCUAGUUCCUAAUUAACUCCUAGCCCCUAGUUAGCCCCUAGACCUUCUCCACUAGUGACUAGUUCCUAGCCCUAGUACUCUAACCUCCAACCUUGACCCCUGACCCCAACCUAUUAACCCUAACCACCACCCCAUAACCCUAAACCCCGAACCUCCUAACACCCUAACCUUAAACCCAUAACCCUAACUCUCUAACCCAAUCCCUAACCUUACCCCUUCCCCCUACCCUAACCCUAUCCCUAACCUUAACUCUAACCCCUUCCCCCUAAUACUAACCCCCCUAAUCC